UCCAGGAUAGAUGCCCCAGUGGGAUAGAUGACUUGAUUUUUAUUUCACUAUGUUAGGAGCACUGUAGGAGUUAAAUUUUACUGUAAGUAACGAGUCCUCCCCCUGCAAACCUUAGUGUCGGGAGGAAUUUCGACCGGAGUGCAUGCGUUUCGUCUGUGUGAGUAAAAAUGUUCCACGGUGAGACGACAAAAGGCGCCAAAAUAAGAUUCGAGAGCAAAAUGCCUCGUAAAUAUAAAAGGAAACAGGGUGUUGUCCCUCGUACUGUAACCUAGACCGAAGACAGUAUGCUAGCAGCGUUUGAAGAGAUGAAAAAGGGAGAGAAAGGCGUAAAUCAGAUUUCUAGAAUAUAAGGAAUACCAUCUAAAAUAUUAAGACGAAGAUUUGCCGUUAACAGCAAUUCUUAAUUUCAAAGUUACUGUAUGUGUUGUUGUUUUAAAUUUGAAUUACUUUUACUUUGUAUUGUAUUGCAUCAUAUCAUUGUAGUUACUGUCUGGCAUAAUUAUUACUGAAAAAAUAUAUAUAUAUCCAGCAUUUAUUUUUAUUUGUUUUAUGAAAACAUGCUGUAAUAACAAAAAACGACCCGUGGCUCUUACAUUCAAAUUAGGAGAAGCUGGAUUUCCGCUGGACCGAACAGCAAUACGUCAGUUAGCAUACCAGUUUGCUAAAAAGCUACAGCUAAAGUAUAACUUUGACAAAGAUGGCCAAGAAAUGAAAAUGAAAGUUAUAUAAAACACCAUAAAGACUGAUUAUAAUAA
Bicyclus anynana (squinting bush brown) is the source of this 755-nucleotide long non-coding RNA. RefSeq lists it as uncharacterized. The record is from RefSeq and is a predicted model, not a curated record. The transcript is spliced from 2 exons. Lineage: Eukaryota; Metazoa; Arthropoda; Insecta; Lepidoptera; Nymphalidae.